Linepithema humile (Argentine ant) is the source of this 691-nucleotide non-coding RNA. The record is from RefSeq and is a predicted model, not a curated record. NCBI's taxonomy places the organism in Eukaryota, Metazoa, Arthropoda, Insecta, Hymenoptera, Formicidae.
GCUGGGUCGCGAACUGGUACGUGGUAAUUCGUAUUUGUGAGAUAUACGUCUUAUAUUUUUUCCGAUUUCAACCCUCUCGAAGUGAAUUUCGUGUGCAUUAUCGUCGAGAGUGCCGUGCAUUUAUUAAUUCGUGUGUGACCCUUAAAUAUCCGCCGAAUAAAUAUCGCGAGGAGAGUUGUCGAAGAUGUUCAGUACGAUCGAUUGUCGAAUCGUCAUAAUGUGUCAUAAUCCGUCAAAUUUUAUCAACUUGUUGUGAUAAUGUUCCCGCGCGAAUCUGCCCGCAAGAUGUCGGAAAUGUCGGACAGACGCGUAUCGCGGCGAUGCUACCAUCUGACGUGACGUCGGCACGUCAACAACGUUACGGUCCGGACGUGUGUGGAAGUUUCGAAAAGAGGUACGGAUUCGAAUGCGCGGCCUGCCAACGAGGUAAGUGCCCGUUGUACCGCGUCGUGCGGAUUAACAACGCGAGUGAGAGUUAACCUGAAAAUGGCCGAAUCGCGCGACUCGAUUGUGGUGUCAAGUGCGGUGACCGGUGCUGUGUCUGUGCAUGGACAGUCAAUUCUGCCGGAUUCGGUGACCCAGGGGAACGAGGAUCCAUCCGACCGUCUUGCUGAACAGGAUACAAAGACUUUUGUAACGAAGACUGCAAAUAACGAGCAAACCAAGAUGCAAAGUAACGGCGAUACCGGUG